UUGUAGGCAGGAGUAUCUUGCUGUUCAACUUAUUUCACAUGUUUAUAGUACAUGCCUUUAUUGUUGUAACUUUUAUUGAUUCUUUUUUUCUGUUUAUACGAAAUUAGUAUGCUGUUUAUGUGAGGGUGAGGUUGAAUCCCAUAUCAUGAUUAAUUCUUGGUUAUUCUGUGAUGUUGGCCUUGUUUAAAAUGAGUCUAUUGAAGGAUAUAAUUGUUGGUGUUUUAUUCCAGAUAUAUUUCAAGAAGCUGGUCUUCCUCUUGGUUGCGUCCUUAUGAAGUUUAAGUCACAUCAUCUUACACAACAUUCAUUGAAACAAUUCUUGAUACGGCCUCAUUUCAUUCUAUCAAAAGUGGAUAUCCCAACAUCACAAGUUUGCAUGACUUCUUUGUUGCCAAGUACCAAGAAAAUUCUUUAAGUUUUAAGCUUGUCCAGGUAUGAAAUACUCAUCUGGUUCCUGUCCCAUGUUAGAUGAAAACUUGGUUGAGGUUGAGACCACAUGCCCCACACUUAAUACGAAUGAGAGUGAAACUUGUGCUACUAGCCCGGACAAUGAAAAUGAUGCUAAUCCAUUUCAAAGAAAGAAAAUAACUAAGACAUCUCCGAUCUUGACAAAAUUUACAAGGGUGGUUCUACCCGAUAGUACAAAAAGGCAGAAUGCAACCAUUGUAA
This is a long non-coding RNA of Pistacia vera, 669 nucleotides long. RefSeq lists it as uncharacterized. Lineage: Eukaryota; Viridiplantae; Streptophyta; Magnoliopsida; Sapindales; Anacardiaceae. The transcript has 3 exons. The record is from RefSeq and is a predicted model, not a curated record.